CUACUUUUUGGGUCACUGGAUC
RNAcentral lists this non-coding RNA (22 nucleotides) under Arabidopsis thaliana (thale cress). Lineage: Eukaryota; Viridiplantae; Streptophyta; Magnoliopsida; Brassicales; Brassicaceae. The record is from RNAcentral.